This 375-nucleotide ribosomal RNA is filed under the name uncultured organism. RNAcentral describes it as "bacterial SSU rRNA". It matches the Rfam family "Bacterial small subunit ribosomal RNA", at positions 526 to 896 of the family's 1533-position model. The record is from RNAcentral.
CGGGGGGAGCAAACGUUGUUCGGAUUUACUGGGCGUAAAGGGCGCGUAGGCGGCCACCGCAAGUCGACUGUGAAAUCUCUGGGCUUAACCCAGAAAGGUCAGCCGAUACUGCGGGGCUAGAGUGCAGAAGGGGCAACUGGAAUUCUCGGUGUAGCGGUGAAAUGCGUAGAUAUCGAGGGGGAACACCUGCGGCGAAGGCGGGUUGCUGGGCUGACACUGACGCUGAGGCGCGAAAGCUAGGGGAGCGAACGGGAUUAGAUACCCCGGUAGUCCUAGCCUUAAACGAUGAAUGCUUGGUGUCUGGGGUUUUAUAGUCCCCGGGUGCCGUCGCUAACGCUUUAAGCAUUCCGCCUGGGGAGUACGGUCGCAAGACUG